This 423-nucleotide unclassified non-coding RNA is filed under the name uncultured Bartonella sp. Its description in RNAcentral is "partial 16S-23S ribosomal RNA intergenic spacer". Lineage: Bacteria; Pseudomonadati; Pseudomonadota; Alphaproteobacteria; Hyphomicrobiales; Bartonellaceae. The record is from RNAcentral.
UUGAUAAGCGUGAGGUCGGAGGUUCAAGUCCUCCCAGGCCCACCAGUUAUACUAUGCAGCAAAUUGCUCUGAGUGAAAAUGUUAAAAUUUAGCGAGAAUAUUCACAAUCCUUUGUUGAAUACUCCCUUAACUUGUUGAAGGCUCCCUUAAAAAGAAUUUAUUGAAGCAGUCAAUUCUUCUAAGAGCAUUCAGAGCUUCCAUAGAAACGAAGUUUUCGCGAGACUUUUUUCUAUCCUCUUCAAUAAGGGAAACAACAGAAAAAUAACGAGGGAAAUAAAAGGCUAAUAUUGUCUCUUUCAAUAUUAUUUCUCUUUUUGUAAAAAAGCUCUGUUUUACAAGUAUGAGUUUUUUAUAAGAGCAAGACGUGAGGGCAUUUACAACUGUUUUAGGGGCCGUAGCUCAGCUGGGAGAGCACCUGCUUUG